This 442-nucleotide ribosomal RNA is filed under the name uncultured bacterium. RNAcentral's name for it is "partial 16S ribosomal RNA". It matches the Rfam family "Bacterial small subunit ribosomal RNA", at positions 338 to 795 of the family's 1533-position model. The record is from RNAcentral.
CCUACGGGCGACAGCAGUAGGGAAUCUUUCACAAUGGGCGAAAGCCUGAUGGAGCAACGCCGCGUGCAGGAUGAAGGCCUUCGGGUUGUAAACUGCUUUUAUAAGCGAGAAAUAUGAUGGUAACUUAUGAAUAAGGAUCGGCUAACUACGUGCCAGCAGCCGCGGUCAUACGUAGGAUCCGAGCAUUAUCCGGAGUGACUGGGUGUAAAGAGUUGCGUAGGUGGCAUAAUAAGUAGCUAGUGAAAUCUGGUGGCUCAACCAUUCAGACUAUUAGCUAAACUGUUAAGCUCGAGACCGUUAGGGGUAACUGGAAUUUCUAGUGUAGGAGUGAAAUCCGUAGAUAUUAGAAGGAACACCAAUAGCGUAGGCAGGUUGCUGGGACGGUUCUGACACUAAGGCACGAAAGCGUAGGGAGCAAACGGGAUUAGAUACCCGUGUAGUC